RNAcentral lists this microRNA precursor (127 nucleotides) under Myotis brandtii (Brandt's bat). RNAcentral describes it as "mir-9193 microRNA precursor family". The record is from Rfam by way of RNAcentral. Lineage: Eukaryota; Metazoa; Chordata; Mammalia; Chiroptera; Vespertilionidae.
CGUGCACUGGUGGGGUCCCUUGGCCUGGCCUGCGGGGAUCGGGCCAAAACCGGCUUUCCGACAUCCAUCAAGGGGUUCCGGAUUUCGAGAGGGUGCAGGCCAGGCUGAGGGACCCCACCAGUGCACG